AAAACAUAUGAAAACUUUCAUAAUAAAAGAACGAAAGUAACAGUAAGAUCAUACCCAUGGUUCUGAAGAUAAUACUAAAAGACUGUAGAGAGAGAAAAGUAGUAUAGAGAGACAGAUCAAAGUAGUAUAGAAAAGAAGAGGGACGGCGACGGUGGAACAGAGGGACGAUGACGGGGAAGGGAGGCCACGACGCCGGCGAUAUCCUUGCUGGCGACGACGAGAUUUCAGAUCUGGCCUGGAGACUGGGAGCGGGCUAGGGCAAAAUACUGAUAAGAGUGAUACUACUGAUCUCAACGAGAUUUUUUAACUAAAAGAGUUCACUACUAAUCUACUACAAGAUGAGUUUGCAUACUCAAGGACUUGGGAGAAGGCACGAACUUCUGCAAGGAGAACGACGAACACGGAGAUAAAGAAUGAGAGAGCCUCAGAGAGAAAAAG
Molecule: long non-coding RNA, 438 nt
Filed under: Panax ginseng (ginseng)
Lineage: Eukaryota; Viridiplantae; Streptophyta; Magnoliopsida; Apiales; Araliaceae
Description: long non-coding RNA (PGIN_LNC018525)
Source: RNAcentral